CGCGUAGGCGGCCAAGCAAGUCGGAGGUGAAAUCCCUCGGCUCAACCGGGGAACUGCCUCCGAUACUGCUUGGCUUGAGUCCCGGAGAGGGUGGCGGAAUUCCGAGUGUAGCGGUGAAAUGCGUAGAUACUCGGAGGAACAUCAGUGGCGAAGGCGGCCACCUGGACGGGUACUGACGCUGAGGCGCGAAAGCUAGGGGAGCAAACA
Molecule: ribosomal RNA, 207 nt
Filed under: uncultured bacterium
Lineage: Bacteria
Description: partial 16S ribosomal RNA
Rfam family: Bacterial small subunit ribosomal RNA
Source: RNAcentral